GCGGUACAGGUGUAGCAAUACAUGCUGACGAGCGGCAGACGGGUGAGGAACACGUACGCAACUUUCCUCUAACUGGGGCACAACCUUGAGAAAUCAGGGCUAAUUCCCCAUAACAUUGCGAAAGGGCAUCUGAUUGCAAUUAAAGAUUUAUUGGUUAGAGAUGGGCGUGCGUCUGAUUAGGUAGUUGGUGGGGUAACGGCUCACCAAGCCAACGAUCAGUAGCUGGUGUGAGAGCACGACCAGCCACACGGGCACUGAGAUACGGGCCCGACUCCUACGGGAGGCAGCAGUAAGGAAUAUUGGUCAAUGGGCGCAAGCCUGAACCAGCCAUGCCGCGUGAAGGAUGAAGGUCCUCUGGAUUGUAAACUUCUUUUAUCUAUAAAGAAAUGUCCUGAUUCUUCGGGACUUGACGGUAAUAGAUGAAUCAGCACCGGCUAACUCCGUGCCAGCAGCCGCGGUAAUACGGAGGGUGCAAGCGUUAUCCGGAUUCACUGGGUUUAAAGGGUGCGUAGGUUGACCGGGAAGUCAGUGGUGAAAUACUCUCGCUUAACGAGAGAACUGCCGUUGAUACUAUCGGUCUUGAAUACGGUGGUGGCGGGCGGAAUGUGUCAUGUAU
This 616-nucleotide ribosomal RNA is filed under the name uncultured Bacteroidota bacterium. Its description in RNAcentral is "bacterial SSU rRNA". It matches the Rfam family "Bacterial small subunit ribosomal RNA", at positions 66 to 678 of the family's 1533-position model. Lineage: Bacteria; Pseudomonadati; Bacteroidota. The record is from RNAcentral.